AAAAAAAAAAAAACCUUAGAUAUGGUGUAUUUAAUUUGAUCAAUAGAUUUAAUUAAGCUCAAAACCGAACUGUGGCCAGCUCUAUCACAAAUAUUAUUGUACAAGAAUUUAAUUUUUCUAUCCAGAAGAGAGAAAGAAACUAUUUAGCAGAUAUGGUAGAUGCUGAAGCAUAUUCUUGUUUUCCUGGUUUCACCAUUUUGAGAUAAAAGCCAAUACUUUCACAUGAGGAGCCAGCCACUAUACAGGGACAAGAAAAUGCUGAAGCUGUUAGGCUAAAAAAUUGAAGAGAUUCGUUGAUAGAGAGUAACAUGCAUGUGAUGUGCCCGUUGUAGGCACUGGAAUAUUCAUCAUCUUCUGAUUUGUUGUUGUUGAUGAAUGAAUGAAUACUAGUAAUAUAAUCCUUCCAGGGUUUGAGAAGAGCCCAUGCCUACAUAACAUGUAGAUGCAUUGUGCACGUAAUCUUGUAGCAAUGGGCGUCUGGCCCUGGCUGUGUGGACUGG
RNAcentral lists this unclassified non-coding RNA (500 nucleotides) under Hevea brasiliensis (rubber tree). The record is from RNAcentral. Lineage: Eukaryota; Viridiplantae; Streptophyta; Magnoliopsida; Malpighiales; Euphorbiaceae.